CACCUGAGUAGGUGGUGACUCAGCACUCGGACAGCGCUUCGAUACUCUCAAAACGAUAUUCCUUCGAUAAAACCUAGUAUCGAUACCACUAGGGUUUAGUUUAACGAUAACCGCGACAAAUUAAUUAGUCCGAGUAUUAUUAAGCGUUAAUAAUACUCGAUAUAACUCAUAAUAAUAGCCCAAAUAAUUAUUUUAAGGACCUAAUAACAUUCCUAUAAUUAUUUGAAAGCUAUAUUAAAAAUUGCGUAAGCGUAGCACACUUACAGCGAAUUUUUAUUAAAAACCGGGCUUCGCUGGAGCAGCGUUUCCGAGCCGAAAGCUUUUCUUCUCGGAGCCGUCGGGCGCUCCGGGGCUUUCUUCUCGUGAUAGGGAGGUUCCCUAGACUUGGGAGGGGUUUAGGGAGGCUAGAGAGAAGUUAGAGAGAGAAAGAAAGGCUUAUGGUGUGAAGAAAAUAUGAGGAGUUCACCCUUGUAUUUAUAGGAAGUGUAUAGUAAAGUAGUCUCCAAGCUUCGUCCGUAACUUUUGCAUACGAGCUCCGUUUUUGUCUGUCUUUUUACUGUUGAGUUCCUAUUAAUGAGAUCUUCAACUUUCAUUUAGACCUCGUUGGCUAAUUCUCAUUCUAUCUCGGAUUUACAAAACUGUAUCAAAUUCGCCGCUCUUGAAAAGUAGGGACUAAGCUUCGUCCAUAACUUUCGCAUACGAGCUCCAUUUUUGUCUGUCUUUUUACUGUUGAGUUCCUAUUAAUGAGAUCUUCAACUCUCAUUUAGACAUCGUUGGCUAAUUCUCAUUCUAUCUCGUAGUCAGAUUUGGGCGUUCUUUUUAUCGAUGUUCUUAGUUUAACAUAUUCUACGACUUUCGUUUAGAUCGCUAAGGCUAAAUCUCGCUCUAUCGUAAAUUCACUAUUUACGCUUCUCGGUAUCGUGCCGGUCCUAUCGCGAAACUUCAAUGGGUCAUAACUUCUUCGCUAUAACUCGGUUUUCGGCGUUCUUUAUAUGUACGAAAACCUUGUAACAUACUCUACAACUUGAUUA
RNAcentral lists this long non-coding RNA (1031 nucleotides) under Lactuca sativa (garden lettuce). Its description in RNAcentral is "long non-coding RNA (LSAT_LNC006283)". Lineage: Eukaryota; Viridiplantae; Streptophyta; Magnoliopsida; Asterales; Asteraceae. The record is from RNAcentral.